Molecule: ribosomal RNA, 424 nt
Filed under: uncultured bacterium
Lineage: Bacteria
Description: bacterial SSU rRNA
Rfam family: Bacterial small subunit ribosomal RNA
Source: RNAcentral
UGGGGAAUAUUGGACAAUGGGCGAAAGCCUGAUCCAGCAAUGCCGCGUGAGUGAGGAAGGCCUUAGGGUUGUAAAGCUCUUUCGGCGGGGACGAUGAUGACGGUACCCGCAGAAGAAGCCCCGGCUAACUUCGUGCCAGCAGCCGCGGUAAUACGAAGGGGGCGAGCGUUGUUCGGAUUUACUGGGCGUAAAGGGCGCGCAGGCGGCUCUUCAAGUCAGGCGUGAAAGCCCCGGGCUCAACCUGGGAACUGCGUUUGGGACUGGAGGGCUAGAGAUCGGGAGAGGAGAGUGGAAUUCCCAGUGUAGAGGUGAAAUUCGUAGAUAUUGGGAAGAACACCGGUGGCGAAGGCGGCUCUCUGGACCGAUACUGACGCUGAGGCGCGAAAGCGUGGGGAGCAAACAGGAUUAGAUACCCCUGUAGUCC